UACGUAGGGUGCGAGCGUUGUCCGGAAUUAUUGGGCGUAAAGAGCUCGUAGGCGGUGUGUCACGUCGGCCGUGAAAGCCUGCAGCUUAACUGUGGGCGUGCGGUCGAUACGGGCAUCACUGGAGUUCGGCAGGGGAGACUGGAAUUCCUGGUGUAGCGGUGAAAUGCGCAGAUAUCAGGAGGAACACCGGUGGCGAAGGCGGGUCUCUGGGCCGAUACUGACGCUGAGGAGCGAAAGCGUGGGGAGCAAACAGG
This 254-nucleotide ribosomal RNA is filed under the name uncultured bacterium. RNAcentral describes it as "partial 16S ribosomal RNA". It matches the Rfam family "Bacterial small subunit ribosomal RNA", at positions 524 to 776 of the family's 1533-position model. The record is from RNAcentral.